GGAAGUAAAAGUCGUAACAGGGUCUCCGUUGGUGAACCAGCGGAGGGAUCAUUACAGGACUCGCAAGACUCCUUCACCCUGUGAACCUCACUACAAGCACGUUGCUUCGGCGGGUGUCCCGGCGGGGGUUUUCCCUCGCCGGGGCGCACAGCCCGCCGGCAGCCUACUAUACUCUGUCUCUUUGCGUUGGCAUCUCGAGAAAAAACAAACAAGUUAAAACUUUCAACAACGGAUCUCUUGGUUCUG
This 246-nucleotide unclassified non-coding RNA is filed under the name plant metagenome. RNAcentral describes it as "partial contains small subunit ribosomal RNA, internal transcribed spacer 1, and 5.8S ribosomal RNA". The stretch from base 1 to 54 matches the Rfam family "Eukaryotic small subunit ribosomal RNA", at positions 1778 to 1831 of the family's 1831-position model. The record is from RNAcentral.